Molecule: ribosomal RNA, 89 nt
Filed under: uncultured bacterium
Lineage: Bacteria
Description: partial 16S rRNA
Rfam family: Bacterial small subunit ribosomal RNA
Source: RNAcentral
UGGGGAAUAUUGCACAAUGGGCGAAAGCCUGAUGCAGCGACGCCGCGUGAGUGAAGAAGUAUUUCGGUAUGUAAAGCUCUAUCAGCAGG